UCCUCGGUAGUAUAGUGGUCAGUAUCCCCGCCUGUCACGCGGGAGACCGGGGUUCGAUUCCGCCGGGGAG
RNAcentral lists this transfer RNA (70 nucleotides) under Trichonephila inaurata madagascariensis. It matches the Rfam family "tRNA". From Rfam's summary of the family: Transfer RNA (tRNA) molecules are approximately 80 nucleotides in length. Their secondary structure includes four short double-helical elements and three loops (D, anti-codon, and T loops). The record is from Rfam by way of RNAcentral. Lineage: Eukaryota; Metazoa; Arthropoda; Arachnida; Araneae; Nephilidae.